Non-coding RNA from Meleagris gallopavo (turkey), 5655 nucleotides. NCBI's taxonomy places the organism in Eukaryota, Metazoa, Chordata, Aves, Galliformes, Phasianidae. The record is from RefSeq and is a predicted model, not a curated record.
UUGGGAAAGGUGACGAACUGCUUGCUACAGAGAUGUUACUGACACAGAGCUGCCCUUGGUUUGAAAGCUGGUGCAGAAAUUACCCCAUGCAAUUGUUGGAAAGUCAGAGCUGUCAUGAGCUGAAGAAGCAAGUGGAAAGUGCAGAACUAAAAAACCAGCGCCUGAAGGAGAUUUUUCAGACCAAGAUCCAGGAGUUUCGCAAGGUCUGUUACACACUCACUGGGUACCAGAUCGACAUCACCACUGAGAACCAGUAUCGACUCACCUCCAUUUACGCCGAGCACCAAGGAGACUGCCUGCUCUUUAAGACUGGAAUGUCGUUGCCAUGCUGCUGUGUGACAGGCUGUUCCUUAUGAGGAAAGUAAAGAUGCUUUCUUCUUUCGGGAAAAAGCUUCCAUAGAUUUCGCAUCUGGUCUCCCCCUUGUAUAUCAACGUAACUCGGAGUAAAGAGAAGAGGCUGUAUAUGCAUUAUAGCUAAGGCAUCUGGCCUUGCACUUCACCUUUUUUAUCAUCUGUUAUAUAUUCCGUGGCAAUAAAACCUUAUGCAACCAUCUAGAUUUCAUCUUGACUUCACUGUACGUCCUUACUGUCUUAGCUGCCCUCUAGCUCGUCUGCAUGUCGUCAUCAUGUCUUUAUGUAAAUUGGUGCCCCUUUCGAGGAGCGACUCAUUCUGUGUGUCUGAAGUUUAUACAAGCAGCUCAGAUGAAUUGCAAUAGCAGUGUCUUCUGUGUGUCUGAUACUGUACUGGUCCAGCCAGAGAGUCUGAGUUUGUGUUGGGCUGAAUGCAUUAGAGAGCUGAGGUGUGACAUUGGAGUCAUUGAGUGGUUAAGCUGCAUCUUUAAUUGCUUAGGUUCGCAUAUCAAUAGGUUAGUGGGAGAACUUCUUACUUCUCAGCAGCAAACACAAUUGGCACUUAAGACCAUUCCUGCUUGCCACUGACUCCCCUCCAGCGUAUUGUUAGGAGGAUGAGGAUUUUGGAAACAUUCAUUACAUAAGCAGGAACUGGAGAAGUUCACUUUCUGCAGACCUACUGCUGUGUGGAUUGCUGCAAGAUUGUUUCUUGACAUAACAGGACAAAUAUUUUUCUGCUCUGCAGCUUCAGAGCCUCAGAAACGGAACAAAGAAACCACCAAGUGAAACCAGCAAGGAUAAGUAUAAGACAGCACCUUGGAUCAUUAGUAAAACUAGGAAAAUAUCACUAAAGUGGUUAUAUUGCUUGGCCUUAUCAGGACUGAAACAGAUGGCAGCAGGCAAACUCAAAGUCUGUGGAGAAGGGAGAACUCUUGGUUUUCAGGUACUGUCGUUGAAUCUUGAGAAGAGCUAGCUGAGGGGGUGCUGUGCUGUUAGCUCUAAGGCCUCCCCAGGCCUGUGUUCACACCUGCUUUGUUACAUGCUUAGUGAAUGAAACUUCUGCAUGUCCCUGGAGGUGUCUAUUGGCAUGGCAAGACAGAGCAUUUAGCAGCUUUUCCUGUGAUGUAGGAGAAAUGGUGCAGUUGAAGAGUUAAGAUAUAAGGAAAUAUGGCCCACUGGAGCCGUAAAUCAGUAGUACAUCUCCAGUAGGAUCAAAUUCUUCUUUGUGUCACUGCAAUAGAAAUAACUUACGUACAGGACAGUGAGUGAUCAGGUACAGAUUUCUCUCUUUAAAUGCUGUUUUUGCUUUCUGUUGUUCACUUGAUUAUUCCCAAGUCCAUCCAGAGGACAGAGGUAAGGGUUGCCAGGGAAAGCAGCAGUAGUUCUGACUUCCUCACGGAAUCCAGGCAGGUAGUGUUCGUGUAUGUACUGAGUCUUGCAUUCUGACUGGGUUUCUGGUGAUAUUGUGUGAUUAUGCAGCAGAAUUACUAAGCUUACCGUGGGCGUUAGUGUGCAUUUCAUUAACCCAAAGAGGUCAAAAAGCAGAGAAUGCUAUUUGUAUUUAUUCCAUUUGAGCAGUUUAUGGAACAAAGUCUAUACAAUUAAACUGCAGAAGUCCCCCAGCACUUUUCAAGCUUCCAUCUUUUCUCUGUAAACUUCAGAACAUCUUUCAGUAGUGCUGCUGGUGGCAUUUAAUUUCAGUGAGGAUGUAAUGGGAGCUACUAUAAUGUAACCCCUUCAAAGCUAAAUGAAGAUGAAAGAUGUGCUUGGUUUUCCCAAGCAACAAGGCGUGCUGUUGCUGUAGUAAAAGGUCUGCAUCCAGCCAAUUUGCUUUAAAUGGAAUCACAGCUUCGUUGAAAGGGUUAAUCACUGUGCCAUGCUGAGAAUACAAAUGACUGCAUCCUAAAUGAGCACUGAAUUCCAAUGAAAGCGUAUCAAUAUUUAUUGGCAAUCCCUAUGGAUACAACAGAUGAGCUCAUCAACUUGAAGGAUGUUCCAGUGAUUUUUCAGACCUUCUGUGUGAGUGCGUAGGCAGCAAGGCACAUCUCGGAUUUCACAGCUCACUCUCACUUGUUUGCUCUUUUUCAUUCUUUUAAUUAAAUGCUGUGAAAAGUGGCACACAGAAUCCUCACCAGCAGUUUAGUUUCUGAUUAUUUUUAUGGGAAGCAAUGUGUUAUAGUUAUUGGGUCACUUGACAGCUUCAUCUUCAGUUAGUGCUGUCGAUACAUUAGAUGUGUUGGGCCGUAAUACAGACCUGGCAUUCCACAUGCUGCUUGGUUUGUGAGUCUAGGCCAGGCCACCCAUGAGAUAUCCAGGAACUGCAUUGCUCACUUGGUAGCAAUCUAUCGGAGACGUCUUAUUAAAACAAACAAGCAUUGCUAGGGAACAUAAAAAUAGGUUUUACCAGCUUGGAAUUAAGCAGCGGCAAAUCAGGAUGUCAUUUUUUGGCAGUGUCUGUAUCAGGCUGUUUACCAUUGCCUCUGGGUAGACCCUGAAUGAGAGUAAGGCAGUGAGGUCUUUAGAAAAGCAAUGACAAUUGAUUCACACAAAGAAAGUCUUUUGGUAAACAGAAAGACUGGUCAAAUUUGAAGAGGAGAUGAUUUGGAGACACUUGUACAAAUGAACAAACAGCGCAGAGAAAAUAAAUCAUAGGCCUUUUCUUUUUGUGUGCCCAGAGAACACAGUCUGGACCCAAGCAUUUAAUGUCAAUCAAUUUUAAAACUAGGAGUGGAAGGCUUGAAUUUAUAGACCCUGUUGCUUUGAGGUACUGCUGAAAGCAAGAGCUCUGUGGGUUUUCUGAAAUGGUGAAGUGUCUUUAUGGACAAACAGUAAUGCCUAGGUUUGCAUAAAAUAUUUAUAUUUACCCUAAGUAGGAUUUGGGAAGUCAAGCUGGCCUCUUCCUGUAGAGAUUAAGAAGAAAAUUCCUGUGCUUGCUGGUUAUUUUUUGGGCUGUCUGUACAUGAAUAGUUUUGCCACUGCUGCGUCUGACAACAUUCAGCUUCAUCCUCUGGCAGUACUUGGGAAUGAAGACUUGAAUGAAGAGGAGAGAGCAAGAAGAGUCAUCAGAGAGAAAUCUGCCUUGUGUUUCACUUGCUUGAUAAUUCACUGUGCUCAACUGUUUCCACCACUGUGGCAUGAAUGUAGAGCUGGUCACUUGUGUUGAUAGGAUCCUGGACUGUAAAGGCAGUUGAUCUGAUAUAACAGCUCUGUGAGAUCUGGCAGCGUUCGAAAUCUUUCGAGUUACUCUGUGCUCCCAGAAAGUGCUCAGGUUUCUCCCUGGUUCAGGUAUAUCUGGGCCUGAGUUGUUCGGUAAGGAAGUAAAUCAGAUUAUUUUCAGUAUCACAGUGGUGUGUGUCUGAGCUUAUUAAUAGUCCUGGCCAAAAAGCUGCAUUUAGGCAGCUCAGCAGCUUAUGUUUGUUGUAUUUUCUGUAUCCUUAGAGCCUAGUCUUCCACAGAAGAGAUUUGUCUGUUUCCAGCUCUUGCCCAUGUUGUUGUUAUUUUCUGCCAGUAUUAUCAAGUGGAAGCACAAACACCAGCGGUAGCUCAUUGAAGAGCAUCCCCAAGAUGGUAGGCUUCAUGCCUUGAAAGAGAAUGCCCAAGACAUGAGACAGCAAAUAAAAACAGAAGCGUCAUGACAGAGCAUGAGAAUGUUGCCAGCCUCGGGGCUGUCACUUCUGCCAAAUAAAACCUUUAUUGGUGUCCAGUUGGAUUGAUAAUAUGGUAAUAAAAUGAACAGCUUUUUAGCAGCCUGUUAAAUUAACAGCCACUGCACACACAGUCUUUGCACACUUGCUUAAGGAGUUCUUCAAGGCAAUCUGAAAAGCGAAUGUUGUUUUUGAUGUGGUUCACAGUGUAUUAAAGAGGCAGAACUUAGAGAGCGAAGGGGAUAAAGGCGGUGCUGCUUUGGGGAUCCUCUGAUGGAAGAGGAGUGUGGUGGAAGGACAGAUACAAGCUGUGUGUUAGCAAAAGGUGUGGAAUGUGAAAGACGUAAGACAGUAACAGUGCAAUUCAUGAGGAUACAUAGAAGGGUGGUCCCAGUGCAGCCUUGAAGGUCUGGGAGUAUGUCAGCCACUGAUUGCUGGCAGGUGGGAGUUGGUAUGUAGUGACAGACUGCCUCAGGCUUGUUUGUCUUUGCUUCAUUUCCACACUCCUUUCCCUGAACAUCUGUCUUGGUGGCUAUUUGGAGGCAGGAUGGUGGGUGAGGUGGCCUUACAGCAGUUCUUAUCAUUAAGAACAACUGGGGCUGCGUAGAAACCUGAGGUAGGUAGAUAGGUAAAUCGUGACAAGGUGUGCAAAAUGCAGGAGGGCAGUUCUGUGAACAAAAAGCGAUGGUUUAAUUGUCUGCCCUUAAGGAGGGAAAUAAGGAUGGAUAGAACGAGAACCUGGAGGCUAUUUUCGAAGUACAAAACAGUGCUGACAAAGUGCUAGCUGAAAGGAGGCAAAACUGAGGUGGUUAAGCAUGCAGAGGAUGCCCUGUGCCCUAAGGCUGCUGAAAUGAUGGUGCAGCCUUAGCAUCACGUUUGCCACAGUGCCCCACUGACAAUGUAUGUCUCAAAAUUAGCAGGAAGGUUACUACAGGGAUUGCCUUGACUUGCCUGAGUGGUUCUGUUUGGAGCAGAGGCUGACAGCACUGCUGGGAGCUCUGGGUCUGGUCCUCGUGCUUGGCAUCCCUGUAGUUGCCAUUAAUUCCUCCUUGAGCCCAGCAGAGUAUCUUUGAGAAGCACGUUCUAGCUGUUUGUUUCUUUUUGCAUCUCUAUCUACUCAGAUAUCCUCUCUUCCUCCUCAGUCCUGAUAGUCUUGAGAGGAGAAAGAAAUCAUAAUUUCGUACAGUGCUUUUCUUUCAGCAACUGUCUCGCACUCCUGCACACAAUCAGAAAUAACAAUGGGGCUCAUCGGUGGAGCAGGCCAGGCAGCAAGAGGUUGAUUAGAGAUUGCAGGCCUCUGCUAACCCCUCAUUCUUGUUAAUUACAAGUUAUUUCAUUUUUGUAUUUUGUUUCCUAUUUGCCCGUGUGGUUACUGGAGAUGCUGGCCAUGCCUGUGUGAUGGUGAUACCUUGCAGGGAUUCCUGCAGGUUCAGCUCUAAUCUGCAGCUCUAAAAGCAGAGCUGUCCUCUAAUCUGUACUGUUUCAGGAUCAAAUGCUGCAUUUAAACUUCCUACAUUUCAUUUUCGUCCAGAAGUUUUAGCGACCUAUUUCAUGUUAGGACCUGGCUUCAAUUCUUGUUUCUGUCUUCAUUUUAUUUUGCUCUUUUUCAUGCCUUUUUUUUCCCCUCUUGACGUGGUUUCUCUUCUGUAUGUUCUUCCCU